Molecule: ribosomal RNA, 460 nt
Filed under: uncultured bacterium
Lineage: Bacteria
Description: partial 16S ribosomal RNA
Rfam family: Bacterial small subunit ribosomal RNA
Source: RNAcentral
CCUACGUGAGGCAGCAGUGAGGAAUAUUGGUCAAUGGGCGCGAGCCUGACCCAGCCAAGUAGCGUGAAGGAUGACUGCCCUACGGGUUGUAAACUUCUUUUAUAAAGGAAUAAAGUGAGGCACGUGUGCCUUUUUGUAUGUACUUUAUGAAUAAGGAUCGGCUAACUCCGUGCCAGCAGCCGCGGUAAUACGGAGGAUCCGAGCGUUAUCCGGAUUUAUUGGGUUUAAAGGGAGCGUAGAUGGGUUGUUAAGUCAGUUGUGAAAGUUUGCGGCUCAACCUUAAAAUUGCAAUUGAUACUGGCAGCCUUGAGUACAGUUGAGGUAGGCGGAAUUCGUGGUGUAGCGGUGAAAUGCUUAGAUAUCACGAAGAACCCCGAUUGCGAAGGCAGCCUGCCAAGCCAUGACUGACGCUGAUGCACGAAAGCGUGGGGAUCAAACAGGAUUAGAUACCCGUGUAGUC